This 263-nucleotide unclassified non-coding RNA is filed under the name plant metagenome. RNAcentral describes it as "partial contains small subunit ribosomal RNA, internal transcribed spacer 1, and 5.8S ribosomal RNA". The record is from RNAcentral.
UUUCCGUAGGUGAACCUGCGGAAGGAUCAUUAUUGUAUAACCGGGGUGGGAGGGCUGUCGCUGACCCGAAAGGUCGUGCACGCCCGAGUGCCCUCACACACAUCCAUCUCACCCCUAUGUGCACCCCCGCGUGGGUCCCCCUUUGGCUUGUUCGGAGGGGGGCUUACGUUUUCACACAAACUUUGUAUGCAGUGUAGAAUGUAUUUUUUGUUUUUGCGAUCACGCAAUCAAUACAACUCUCAACAACGGAUCUCUUGGCUCUC